GGGGGCGUAGCUCAGUUGGGAGAGCACCUGCCUUGCAAGCAGGGGGUCAGCGGUUCGAACCCGCUCGUCUCCA
This 73-nucleotide transfer RNA is filed under the name Candidatus Vecturithrix granuli. It matches the Rfam family "tRNA". From Rfam's summary of the family: Transfer RNA (tRNA) molecules are approximately 80 nucleotides in length. Their secondary structure includes four short double-helical elements and three loops (D, anti-codon, and T loops). The record is from Rfam by way of RNAcentral. Lineage: Bacteria; Candidatus Moduliflexota; Candidatus Vecturitrichia; Candidatus Vecturitrichales; Candidatus Vecturitrichaceae. RNAcentral also lists the same sequence under 1 other name.